GAACGCUAGCGGCAGGCUUAACACAUGCAAGUCGAGGGGCAGCACGGGUAGCAAUACCUGGGUGGCGACCGGGACGAAAGGGUGAGUAACGCGUGAGCAACGUGCCCGUAUGUGGGGGAUAGUCGAUAGGAAACGUCGCGUAAUACCCCGUAACACAAGGAACCGCAUGAUUCUUUGUUGAAAGAUUUAUUGCAUACGGAUCGGCUCGCGUGCCAUUAGCUAGUUGGCGGGGUAACGGCCCACCAAGGCGACGAUGGCUAGGGGUUCUGAGAGGAACGGUCCCCCACAUUGGAACUGAGACACGGUCCAGACUCCGUACGGGAGGCAGCAGUGAGGAAUAUUGGACAAUGGCCGGAAGGCUGAUCCAGCCAUGCCGCGUGCGGGAGGACGGCCCUAGUUGGGUUAGUAAACCGUCUUUUGCGGGGGAGCAAUAAGGUGCACGUGUGCACCGAUGAGAGUACCCUGCGAAUAAGCAUCGGCUAACUCCGUGCC
RNAcentral lists this ribosomal RNA (492 nucleotides) under uncultured bacterium. RNAcentral describes it as "bacterial SSU rRNA". It matches the Rfam family "Bacterial small subunit ribosomal RNA", at positions 31 to 509 of the family's 1533-position model. The record is from RNAcentral.